AACGAACGCUGGCGGCAUGCCUAACACAUGCAAGUCGAACGAGACCUUCGGGUCUAGUGGCGCACGGGUGCGUAACGCGUGGGAACCUGCCCUUAGGUUCGGACUAACUCCCCGAAAGGGGUGCUAAUACCGGAUAAUGUCUUCGGACCAAAGAUUUAUCGCCUUUGGAUGGGCCCGCGUUGGAUUAGCUAGUUGGUAGGGUAAAAGCCUACCACGGCGACGAUCCAUAGCUGGUCUGAGAGGCUGAUCAGCGACACUGGGACUGAGACACGGCCCAGACUCCUACGGGAGGCAGCAGUGGGGAAUAUAGGACAAUGGGCGAAAGCCUGAUCCAGCAAUGCCGCGUGAGUGAUGAAGGCCUUAGGGUUGUAAAGCUCUUUUACCCGGGAUGAUAAUGACAGUACCGGGAGAAUAAGCUCCGGCUAACUCCGUG
RNAcentral lists this ribosomal RNA (433 nucleotides) under uncultured bacterium. RNAcentral describes it as "partial 16S ribosomal RNA". It matches the Rfam family "Bacterial small subunit ribosomal RNA", at positions 29 to 507 of the family's 1533-position model. The record is from RNAcentral.